This is a long non-coding RNA of Oncorhynchus tshawytscha (Chinook salmon), 2224 nucleotides long. Lineage: Eukaryota; Metazoa; Chordata; Actinopteri; Salmoniformes; Salmonidae. The record is from Ensembl.
UCUCUCACUUCCUCUCUCUCUCUCUCUCUCUCUCUCUCUCUGGCUCUGUGUGUGUAUCUCUCACUGUGUAUCUCUCGCUGUCUGUGUGUGUGUCUCUCUGUUGGUGUCUCUCUUUUUCUCUUUCUCUCUCACUCUUUGUGUCUCUCUCUCUCUGUGUGUGUGUCUCUCUCUCUCUCUGUGUGUCUCUGUGUGGAAUCACUUAUAAUACAGAUACAUAAGGAAUGUGGAAAUAAUGUUAAAAAGCAGAAUAAACAGGGGUUAUACACAGCCGGAGUUUGGCUUUCGGAAGCAAAAAAGAGAAUUGGACGCGCAGGAAAAAAGAUUAAAUCUGACAAGACUCAAGAGGCGCUGCCCCCCGCUCAAUACAGAGAUAAUCCAGUCGACGAAAUAGUGGUUGUAAGAAUACGGCUGCAGGAGCUACCUGUGAAAUUACCACCCAUGUAUGUGGAUCCCGCUGAAGCCGAGGGAGGUAUAAUGGAGUUAGAAAAGGGAAUAAAGUCGAGAAAAGUGGAUAAGGAUUCUAUGCAUUACAGGUGAACUACAGGUGAAGUCACUCAAUCCAGUCCCAGAGGCUUGUUGGGGGGACCAUACCAAGGACUCCUGGUGACAGCUAGCUGAAAGAGCUACCCAGAUUCGUAUCGCACGGUGGGAGGGUAAGACACAUUGACACUGUCGAACAAUAAACAGUGUUCGAGAGGAGAACUGGAAUUAACAGAAUUCCGGGGGCCAUCUCUCGAAUGAAGAAAAUCCUUCCUGUCUUUUCAUCCCUGUUUUUGUUCAUAGAAGUGAAGGUGUGUCUGGCGCUUGCUAAGUGAUGUGUUCUCGGGGAGAGGGUGGGGCUUCACAUGGAAGCUGUUCAUCUGAGCUGUCUUAUCGUGGGUGACAUAUUCCUGAUACAGCACGUCCUACUUGAGUAUGCGGAGAGUGGUAAUUUGACCCAUGGUUUAGACGAUGAGGAUUUUGUUCCAAAAUAAGCAUAAGAGAUCCCUAGAUCUGGGUAGACAGGAAGUUAGAGUAGAGGUUGGGAAGGAUCUCUCAAUGGAGUUUUAUGUAGACCAACAUGGAGUCUCUAACUACAUGGCAGUCUAGGACUCUGAGCCAUUAUGGCAUAUAUCGGUGCAGGUUCCCAUAUUGAUCGUGGACACAGGUCAUAGCUCAUUUGGAGAGAGAGGGUUAAUAUGAAUCCACUCACCCAGUAUGGAAGAAGGUAGAGUAUAGUGAAGGUGAGAGUUUUUGAUUGUAAUCAGGAGAGAGGGAUGUAUUGCAUAAAGAUACCCCUAACCCUUUAAACAGAAAUGAAGGAGGAUCUAGGGUUGUGGUAUGGACAUGACCAGGUCUUGGUCGACACCCUAGUACGGUUCUGGGUAGAGGAGUUUAGGCCGGUAUGGUAAAGCUGUUCAUUCACCUGUGUGACUGUUUAGUUUUAUGGGGCUGUUGUCUAAUUCCCUGUGUAUGAGGCCUUAUUUCCAGGACUCUGGAGAAAUCGAUGACAAUAGAUGGUGAGAUACCAGGGGAUUCCAGGUUCAGACCCGCGGAGUGCUGAUUGUAUGUCUACAGGACAAGUGGACGAAUCUGGAUCCUUCAGUUGCGGGCAAUUUAUGUUUGAAGAGACCAUUUUUGAUGUUUAGGUUGCAUCCCAUCUAGGUUGCAUCCCAUCUCAAUAUUAGACUGUUUUUUUAUGAAGAUUGUAACGAAAAUCCUGAUAAGAAGAGUUAUGAUUCUGAUGUAGGCCUGAGAAACAGUUAUGGCGAAUGCAAGUAUGGGGUUAUGUUUAGGUGAUGUUUUGAUGACAAGAAAUAUCUCUAAUAAAAAUAAAAUUUUUAUCAAUGAUGACUAAUUAUGUAUACAUUUCAAUCAGGACUGAAUAAUCCGAAUACUGUUAUGUUACUGUACAUGUAUGAAUUUUCUCUCUUGCUCCCAGUAUUGAAUAUAAUGUAGUCAAGAGUUUAGAACAAUGAUGGCCUGUUCCUUGGUACAAAUAAAUGAACUAUCUCCAGAUGGCAGGGACGGACUAUCUCCAGACUGUCUAGAAUGCUUAUCUACACUGACUGACCUUGGCUCUAGGCGAGGAGGGAAGGCUUGAGAUCUAUAGAGCCUUUCUACCAGUGUCAAGAAGAGACGGAACAUUUAGAAAACGCUGACGUCAUUUUCAGUUCAUAACCUGUGGUAAAAUGUGUAUGAACUCAGUACUCUCUUGAAUUAAAGGCUGUUACUUGACUUUUAA